Molecule: long non-coding RNA, 1312 nt
Organism: Clupea harengus (Atlantic herring)
Lineage: Eukaryota; Metazoa; Chordata; Actinopteri; Clupeiformes; Clupeidae
Source: Ensembl
CACACACACACACACACACACACACACACACACACACACACACACACACACACACACACACAUAACCAGACCACAUCCCAAACUAUUUUGUGAUUAUAAUAAUUACAUUCACUCAUUUGUCCUGUCCACAGUUUAGCUGACAUGAUCAGUCAGCUAGGACUUGCAUCUCAGAAACGAAAGGAGCACUAAGGUGAGUUCCCCAAGGAGAGUGACUCCCAACGAAAGCGUGACGUGACGUGACGUUUGCUCAGUGUUGCGCUGACACUGUGGCUUUGGAGGGGGGGGGGGGGGGGCUAGGGCAGGGGCAGGGGGGCUAGGGUGGCAGAAUCGCAGUGUCACAACAUUACAGCAAUUGUUUUUUUGUCAGAUGUGAUGUGCUGGCAGGGUCUACUGUGUCCCCUCCACAGUGUCAUCUGGAUCCCGGCUCUUCUCACACUCAGCGAUGGGGCAGGGCUCAGAUUCUGAUCGGGCUAGGGUUCUGAUCUGGCGUGCAGCCUCGCACAUUUCAUUUUGCACGCUCAUCGCUUAGAUGCUGCAUCUGGAGGGAGGAGUGAACGAGCGCCGACAGCUGUGACGCGCCAAGAUGGCGAACGAAGACACAUACUCCAAUGGCGUCCUGUCAAGAUGGCGAACAAAGACACAUACUCCAAUGGCGUCCUGUCAAGAUGGUGAACAAGGUCAUACUCCAAUGGCGUCCUGUCAAGAUGGCGAACAAAGACACAUACUCCAAUGGUGUCCUGCCAAGAUGGCGAACAAAGACACAUACUCCAAUGGCGUCCUGUCAAGAUGGCGAACGAAGACACAUACUCCAAUGGCGUCCUGUCAAGAUGGCGAACGGCGAUCCACAAAGCUUUUGACCUUAGGCAUCGUGAUGUUGAUAAAUGGUCCCACACAGAUUUGAGGUGCGUGUCCAAUGUCAUGAUCAGAUCGGGGUUGCGUUCUGCUCGGUAUCAGCCUCAUCUUCUCAUCCGUGGGCUUUUGACUUAACUGCCCCCCCCCCCCCCCCCCCACCCCCCGAAGAAAUGCCCCCACAAACACUUCAAACACAGCAGGACUGAAGGCAGGACAUGGCUUUCCAUGGCUAAUGUAGGCAUUUUUCAUCAAUCCUUGUUUAAAAAUAAAUAUUAUAAGAAAUAACAAACGAACAUAUUCUGUGUCUUCUUCUGCCUCCACAUUGAAACAAGAACAGUUUCUACAACAGAGUGUCUCUCAGUUCAUUCAAAUGGGAGGUCGAUUACAAAGUGUGUGUUUGUGUGUGUGUGUGUGUAUGUGUUUGUGUGUCUGUGUGUGUGUGUGUGUGUGUGUCUGUCUG